UCUGGGAAACUGCCUGAUGGAGGGGGAUAACUACUGGAAACGGUAGCUAAUACCGCAUAACGUCGCAAGACCAAAGAGGGGGACCUUCGGGCCUCUUGCCAUCAGAUGUGCCCAGAUGGGAUUAGCUAGUAGGUGGGGUAACGGCUCACCUAGGCGACGAUCCCUAGCUGGUCUGAGAGGAUGACCAGCCACACUGGAACUGAGACACGGUCCAGACUCCUACGGGAGGCAGCAGUGGGGAAUAUUGCACAAUGGGCGCAAGCCUGAUGCAGCCAUGCCGCGUGUAUGAAGAAGGCCUUCGGGUUGUAAAGUACUUUCAGCGGGGAGGAAGGUGUUGAGGUUAAUAACCUCAGCAAUUGACGUUACCCGCAGAACAAGCACCGGCUAACUCCGUGCCAUCAGCCGCGGUAAUACGGAGGGUGCAAGCGUUAAUCGGAAUUACUGGGCGUAAAGCGCACGCAUGCGGUCUGUCAAGUCGGAUGUGAAAUCCCCGGGCUCAACGUGGGAACUGCAUUCGAGACUGGCAGGCUAGAGUCUUGCACAGGAGGCUACAAUUCCGGGUGUAACGCUCAAAUGCGUAUAGUUCUGG
RNAcentral lists this ribosomal RNA (589 nucleotides) under Enterobacter sp. RNAcentral's name for it is "bacterial SSU rRNA". It matches the Rfam family "Bacterial small subunit ribosomal RNA", at positions 116 to 701 of the family's 1533-position model. The record is from RNAcentral. Lineage: Bacteria; Pseudomonadati; Pseudomonadota; Gammaproteobacteria; Enterobacterales; Enterobacteriaceae.